Molecule: ribosomal RNA, 155 nt
Filed under: uncultured Gammaproteobacteria bacterium
Lineage: Bacteria; Pseudomonadati; Pseudomonadota; Gammaproteobacteria
Description: partial 16S ribosomal RNA
Source: RNAcentral
GUGCUUCUUCUGCGAGUAACGUCAAUUGCUGCGGUUAUUAACCACAACACCUUCCUCCUCGCUGAAAGUACUUUACAACCCGAAGGCCUUCUUCAUACACGCGGCAUGGCUGCAUCAGGCUUGCGCCCAUUGUGCAAUAUUCCCCACUGCUGCCU